UCCUUACAUAUCUGAAGGCAAGUAAAAUCCCACAAAAUAUUAGCAGUGGUGUGGUAGGUACCCACCUUCUGGAAUGUAACCGUUACAUUCCGUUACCUUAGAUACUGGACUUAGAUAACUAAGUCGGGAUGUCUCAUAAGCGUCUCAGUGGGGUGCCCUGUGUUUGGGACACUAAAGGGCUCAGCUGCUAAUGGAGGAGACCCGCAACUGGGAGGCUUGAGAGUGGUCACCCUAGGAGCAGAAGAUCCAUCCCUAAGCAUAACUCAAACUGAACGUCUACUCGUUAUGGAAUUGAAAUGAGGUAAACAGUUGCUGAGUGGAAAGCGUCCAUUGGUGUGGAGGCGGGGAAGUCCAGGAUUGAGAUGUAGCCCAGCUCCUUUCUGCCGACGCAUUAGUCAGUGCUGUUUCUUCUUUCAGGAGCUCUAAUGCCACCGUGGGACACUGCCCUCAGGAUCUCAUCCAAGCUAAUCAUUUCCCAUACAUGGUGGGAAGAGGGAGCCGUAUUGGAUUUGGGCCUGGCCGCUUUGUGACUGCAUAGCUCAAGGUGGCUACGUGACUCUGGGCUGCAUGGCCACAGAGGUUCAACCUUGAAAUGACUGCCAUACAGACAUGAGAUUGUUGAAUUAAAGCCACUCCCAGGAAGACCCUGGGAGCAAUGACAGGAUGCCUGAGCAAAACACCGGAUGUCCCUGAGCAGAUUCCUGAGAAGGGUUUGACCUUUUCAAAGAACAUGUCCCCGGAAGACUGUUGCCUCUUUGUUUAAGGAGGAUAUCUUGCAGUGUAGUGAUUCACCUUAUAUCCUUGGGCACUUCCCAAACUCCCGCACCCUAAGCUUCAGUUCCCGCUUCUAUUCUUGCCUCAGAGCUUUAAAUGCUGUACAUUUUUCUCAAUAAGCGAGACCUUGACAACAGAA
Long non-coding RNA from Rattus norvegicus (Norway rat), 913 nucleotides. RefSeq lists it as uncharacterized. Lineage: Eukaryota; Metazoa; Chordata; Mammalia; Rodentia; Muridae. The record is from RefSeq and is a predicted model, not a curated record.